Molecule: ribosomal RNA, 472 nt
Filed under: uncultured bacterium
Lineage: Bacteria
Description: bacterial SSU rRNA
Rfam family: Bacterial small subunit ribosomal RNA
Source: RNAcentral
UGGGGAAUAUUGGACAAUGGGCGAAAGCCUGAUCCAGCCAUGCCGCGUGUGUGAAGAAGGUCUUCGGAUUGUAAAGCACUUUAAGUUGGGAGGAAGGGCAGUAAGCUAAUACCUUGCUGUUUUGACGUUACCGACAGAAUAAGCACCGGCUAACUCUGUGCCAGCAGCCGCGGUAAUACAGAGGGUGCAAGCGUUAAUCGGAAUUACUGGACGUAAAGCGCGCGUAGGUGGUUUGUUAAGUUGGAUGUGAAAGCCCCGGGCUCAACCUGGGAACUGCAUCCAAAACUGGCAAGCUAGAGUACGGUAGAGGGUGGUGGAAUUUCCUGUGUAGCGGUGAAAUGCGUAGAUAUAGGAAGGAACACCAGUGGCGAAGGCGACCACCUGGACUGAUACUGACACUGAGGUGCGAAAGCGUGGGGAGCAAACAGGAUUAGAUACCCCCGUAGUCCCUGAGCGGGCUGGCAAGGCGCAU